Molecule: ribosomal RNA, 428 nt
Filed under: uncultured Pseudomonas sp.
Lineage: Bacteria; Pseudomonadati; Pseudomonadota; Gammaproteobacteria; Pseudomonadales; Pseudomonadaceae
Description: bacterial SSU rRNA
Rfam family: Bacterial small subunit ribosomal RNA
Source: RNAcentral
GCAGAGAAGCUUGCUUCUCUUGAGAGCGGCGGACGGGUGAGUAAAGCCUAGGAAUCUGCCUGGUAGUGGGGGAUAACGUUCGGAAACGGACGCUAAUACCGCAUACGUCCUACGGGAGAAAGCAGGGGACCUUCGGGCCUUGCGCUAUCAGAUGAGCCUAGGUCGGAUUAGCUAGUUGGUGAGGUAAUGGCUCACCAAGGCGACGAUCCGUAACUGGUCUGAGAGGAUGAUCAGUCACACUGGAACUGAGACACGGUCCAGACUCCUACGGGAGGCAGCAGUGGGGAAUAUUGGACAAUGGGCGAAAGCCUGAUCCAGCCAUGCCGCGUGUGUGAAGAAGGUCUUCGGAUUGUAAAGCACUUUAAGUUGGGAGGAAGGGCAUUAACCUAAUACGUUAGUGUUUUGACGUUACCGACAGAAUAAGCACC